Molecule: unclassified non-coding RNA, 266 nt
Filed under: Hevea brasiliensis (rubber tree)
Lineage: Eukaryota; Viridiplantae; Streptophyta; Magnoliopsida; Malpighiales; Euphorbiaceae
Source: RNAcentral
AGCCAUAGGUAUUGAGCUGCCUGACGAAGCUGGAGAAGUUAUUAUGCUUGAAGUAUUUGGGCAAAAGAUCCCUAGCGAACUCAGGCGGGUUCCAAACCACAAAGCUAUUAUUCGUAGGGCUCCAGGACACAACCGCAUCGGUAGCCGGAUCAUCCACCAUAUCAUAUGUCUUACUCAAGAACGGUGGAGGCGCGUUAGAAUUAGUGAUAGGAGCCGGCACCGUCGGCUGAGAGUUGACACUCCCGGAAGCCAAUCCAGCAUCGCCG